Molecule: ribosomal RNA, 613 nt
Filed under: uncultured Russulaceae
Lineage: Eukaryota; Fungi; Basidiomycota; Agaricomycetes; Russulales; Russulaceae
Description: LSU rRNA
Rfam family: Eukaryotic large subunit ribosomal RNA
Source: RNAcentral
UAAGCGGAGGNAAAGAAACUAACAAGGAUUCCCCUAGUAACUGCGAGUGAAGCGGGAAAAGCUCAAAUUUAAAAUCUGGUGGCCUCUGGUCAUCCGAGUUGUAAUUUAGAGAAGCGUCUUCCGCGCUGGACCAUGCACAAGUCUCUUGGAACAGAGCGUCAUAGAGGGUGAGAAUCCCGUCUUUGACACGGACUGCCAGUGCUUAUGUGAUGCGCUCUCAAAGAGUCGAGUUGUUUGGGAAUGCAGCUCAAAAUGGGUGGUAAAUUCCAUCUAAAGCUAAAUAUUGGCGAGAGACCGAUAGCGAACAAGUACCGUGAGGGAAAGAUGAAAAGAACUUUGGAAAGAGAGUUAAACAGUACGUGAAAUUGUUGAAAGGGAAACGCUUGAAGUCAGUCGCGUUGGCCAGAAAUCAACCUUCAAAGGUGCACUUUCUGGUUUUACGGGUCAGCAUCAAUUUUGAUUGUUGGAUAAAAGUCAAUAUUUAUGCAUCUUUGGAUGUAUAGCCUUUGGUUGCAUACAACAGUUGGGAUUGAGGAACUCAGCACGCCGCAAGGCCGGGUCUCUUUUGAUCACGCACGUGCUUAGGAUGCUGGCAUAAUGGCUUUAAUCGACC